CAGCAGCCACGGUAAUACGGAGGGUGCAAGCGUUAAUCGGAAUUACUGGGCGUAAAGCGCACGCAGGCGGUUUGUUAAGUCAGAUGUGAAAUCCCCGGGCUCAACCUGGGAACUGCAUUUGAAACUGGCAAGCUAGAGUCUCGUAGAGGGGGGUAGAAUUCCAGGUGUAGCGGUGAAAUGCGUAGAGAUCUGGAGGAAUACCGGUGGCGAAGGCGGCCCCCUGGACGAAGACUGACGCUCAGGUGCGAAAGCGUGGGGAGCAAACAGGAUUAGAUACCCCAGUAGUCCCUGUCUCUUAUAC
This 301-nucleotide ribosomal RNA is filed under the name uncultured bacterium. RNAcentral's name for it is "partial 16S ribosomal RNA". It matches the Rfam family "Bacterial small subunit ribosomal RNA", at positions 509 to 807 of the family's 1533-position model. The record is from RNAcentral.